GACCUGGAUCCGGAGGGGGUCCGGGAACCUGCGGGCCGGGCGCUCGCUGUCCCCCCACUCAGGCUGCGACAGGGGCAGCGUCGGGCCCUCCAGGAAGCCAGACUCGGAAGGUGCCUGGGGCACAGAUGAGGCGCGGGAGAGGCGGCCUGAGCGGAGCAGGACAACUUUGCAUUUUAGUUGGACUUAACUCGCCCUCCUCUCCUCGCUCCCCUUCCCCAAAACGCCUUUCUCUUCCGGGGUCAGCCGGGACCGCCCCGAAGUGUACCUGGCGCGCCGUGGGCGCCUCGAGCUAGGGGUUUUGAGGCGUCGGCGCCGCCCCGGCCGCUGCUUCCUCGGCCAUUUGCGUGCUCGCUGCUCACGGCAGCCCCAGCCCCGCGCGGCGCCCCGGCCGGGCCGUGCGCUCUGGUCCGCGGGCACCGCCUGCAGGCGGUGGGACCUGGGAGCACAUCUUCAGUAAUCGUUGUUUGUAUACGUAGUAAUAGGAAAUCCCUCUCCCCAUGCCACCAAAAGCACAGGAGUCAGAGCGUCUGCGCGAUUCUCGUAGAUGUGGAUGCACCCCCUCGGGAGCCCAAAUGCAGACACGAGCUGGCAAAGCCUCGGGCCAGAACCCGGAUCUGCCCCCUCUUCUCCUGUAACUGUUUGUAUCACACUCCCUAUCUCGGAAUAACCAAACUGGCUUCUUCACGAAGGGUUGCCGACCAAGUCAAAGCCAGUCACACUGAUGGAUUGUUUUUCCGAGGUCUACUCUGACGCCUCGCCCGGCCGCCCCCUAGUCCUCGCAGCUUUUCCUUCCAGUGUACUCAAACACCAGAUUCCACCUGCAGUCGCAGCCAAGACACCAUUCGGGCUCUCGCACUCCCGCCCCCGAGCUGCCAAAGCUAAAAUCUGGAGCCACGGAAUCCACAUUUCUGCAGAAGACUGAAAGCUGAGCAUGCUCAAUGACCAAGGCAAAUUUUGGUCUGUAACUAGUUGGUGCAAAGCGUAUGUGGCUCCACAGACUUUCCUCUGAGUUCCAACUGGGCACAAGACAGUUUCCCCGGGUGAGGGAGGAGGGGGACGCUUCAUCGUUCCCACUCUGCUGUGAGGGCUCCUUUCUUCCCGGUGAGGGUGGGGCCAGUACCACUCUGCCCUGUACCUUUGGUUUCUACCCCAGCACUAUCAUCUUAACUCUCUGAUUCCGCUCAAUCCCUAAACUGCGUCGCCCUGCCCACUCCACCCUCUCUUUUAUUUGCUUGGUUUGAUUUCUACAUUCUCAAGGAAGGCUGCCUGGACUUUGAACCUUAGCCACCCUUCCUUCAUUCCUGCAUUCCAGAAACCCAUUUUGUGGCACCUUUAGUGGAAAACUGUGAUUCGUGACUGAGAGAUUGAGUCUAGAAUGGUAAGCAAGUCACUAUCUUUGCAAAUUUUCCAACUGCUUUUUAAAAAAAAAUGAAAAUAAAGAAGGCCUGCCUCCCUCAUCUUAAUCUUCUAUUGACUUCCAGAGAUUAUCACACUAGGUUAUUUUAAUGAACACUAAAUGUGUUUUCAAGA
Diceros bicornis minor is the source of this 1530-nucleotide long non-coding RNA. RefSeq lists it as uncharacterized. Lineage: Eukaryota; Metazoa; Chordata; Mammalia; Perissodactyla; Rhinocerotidae. The transcript is spliced from 2 exons. The record is from RefSeq and is a predicted model, not a curated record.